Molecule: signal recognition particle RNA, 243 nt
Filed under: uncultured Lachnospira sp.
Lineage: Bacteria; Bacillati; Bacillota; Clostridia; Lachnospirales; Lachnospiraceae
Description: Bacterial large signal recognition particle RNA
Rfam family: Bacterial large signal recognition particle RNA
About the family: The signal recognition particle (SRP) is a universally conserved ribonucleoprotein involved in the co-translational targeting of proteins to membranes. Archaeal SRP consists of a 7S RNA and homologues of the eukaryotic SRP19 and SRP54 proteins.
Source: RNAcentral
AGCUGGGGUAGUAGCGGCACCCUGUACCUGCAAUCCGCUAUAGCAGGAGUGAUGUUCGGCCUAGGGCAAUAUAUUUAUGGAGCUGCCCGGUAAAAGUGGUGUUGACAUUUGGGUCUUCCGCAACAGAAAUUCAUGAAUCAUGUCAGGUCAGGAAUGAAGCAGCAUUAAGUGAAACCUUCUGUGUGCCGGAAGGGUGCCUGGAUCGAGCUAACUGUACCGGUAACGUCUGUGGGUAUUUGUUCG